CCCUGCUUUUGAAGUCCCAAGUGUCUAUCAUUCCCAUCUUUGUGUCCUUGUGUACCCAAGGUUUAGCUCUUACUUAUAAGUGAGAACAUGCAAUGUUUGGUUUUCU
This is a long non-coding RNA of Nomascus leucogenys (northern white-cheeked gibbon), 106 nucleotides long. RefSeq lists it as uncharacterized. Lineage: Eukaryota; Metazoa; Chordata; Mammalia; Primates; Hylobatidae. The transcript is spliced from 3 exons. The record is from RefSeq and is a predicted model, not a curated record.